CCGAGAACGAGCGGCUGCGCGGCCUCCUGCAGCACCUGCGCCGCCGCCUCCGCGCCGAGCUCGCCCGCGCCGCGCAGGCACCUCCUGAUGCAAAUGUUGCUGCUUGCCAGGCUGAACAUAAAAGAGAGAAGAAGCAGGAAAACCAGGUAGCGGAUAGAUUUCAGAAUGAGCUAGAGCAGGAGCCAGCCUUCAUCGAAGAGAGACUGAAGCUAUAUGAAGAGCUCAAAAAAGAACAUGAUGCUCUCCUUGAAUCCAGAGCAUCCGGCCAGAGCAGGCUGAUCGAAAUCACCCUGGCCGAUGGGAAGCAGUUGGAAGGAGAGUCUUGGAAAACAACUCCAUAUCAAAUAGCUUUAGGAAUCAGGUAACUUUCCAUGUACAUUAUCAUCUUUGACAAAAAAAUCAGAAAUCUUCCUGAGCAUAUGGUAUCCUGAUUCCUUUUAUUAAACUAAAAUGAGAAACCUACAA
This is a long non-coding RNA of Varanus komodoensis (Komodo dragon), 465 nucleotides long. RefSeq lists it as uncharacterized. NCBI's taxonomy places the organism in Eukaryota, Metazoa, Chordata, Lepidosauria, Squamata, Varanidae. The transcript is spliced from 3 exons. The record is from RefSeq and is a predicted model, not a curated record.